MicroRNA precursor from Bos indicus x Bos taurus (hybrid cattle), 66 nucleotides. Lineage: Eukaryota; Metazoa; Chordata; Mammalia; Artiodactyla; Bovidae. The record is from Ensembl.
UUGGCCAAAAGUCUGUAUUUUUCAUACCGACUUAUGGUAUGAAAAACUCAAACUCUUUGGCCAACC